This 686-nucleotide small RNA is filed under the name Pongo abelii (Sumatran orangutan). Its description in RNAcentral is "sense overlapping". The record is from RNAcentral. Lineage: Eukaryota; Metazoa; Chordata; Mammalia; Primates; Hominidae.
AAAGACACGCUAUUUAAAUACAGAUCCAACUUAGAAAUAAUGUUUCAUUCAAGAUAAGGCUCGUGAUUUAGGAGAUUGUGACCUGGCUUGCAUCAUUCUAAGACUUCUAUCAUCUGUUUUCAAAACCCAAGGAGGACCUCAUUUUCUGUGUGAUAGUUCCUCAUGCUUUGCCAGCCACUGUGUCUUUAAGGAAGCUUGCCAAGAGUUCCUGGCUGGGAAGGACAGUUCGAGUUCAUCAUAGACAAUGAGCUGGCACCACAUUUUAAGUGACUCACCAACCUGGUUGCCCACUUCAAAAUGUCAAGAACCACACUAUCUAAUUGAAAGAACUGUGUUUUAGCAAAGUGUAAUUGGAUCACCUGGCAAGAUCAUCUCAAACUGUGUCUCUGACCUUGCCUUUCAGUGGCUGUUUUGAGCACAAGAGGAGAAAGGAAAUGAUUCCUGAAUUAUAUCUUGUUUUUAAAAAUUAAGAUUAAUUAAUACUUGGUUUUAUGUUCAUUCCAUUGUAGGAACUUCAUGAUUAUUACAAAACAGUCAAAAUAGGUCAUAGCAAAAUGAACGUUUAAGAUUAGGUUAAAACAUUCCUCUGAAAUUUUAGUAUUCACUUUUGAAGUGUCAAUUACUAUAUUUCUGUAUCUUUUUUUCUUGGCUUAGAGUCAAGAUGAAAAAUGAUAUUUGAAUCAAAG